This 497-nucleotide ribosomal RNA is filed under the name uncultured bacterium. Its description in RNAcentral is "partial 16S ribosomal RNA". It matches the Rfam family "Bacterial small subunit ribosomal RNA", at positions 28 to 507 of the family's 1533-position model. The record is from RNAcentral.
GAUGAACGCUGGCGGCGUGCCUAAUACAUGCAAGUCGAGCGAACAGACGAGGAGCUUGCUCCUCUGACGUUAGCGGCGGACGGGUGAGUAACACGUGGAUAACCUACCUAUAAGACUGGGAUAACUUCGGGAAACCGGAGCUAAUACCGGAUAAUAUAUUGAACCGCAUGGUUCAAUAGUGAAAGACGGUUUUGCUGUCACUUAUAGAUGGAUCCGCGCCGCAUUAGCUAGUUGGUAAGGUAACGGCUUACCAAGGCAACGAUGCGUAGCCGACCUGAGAGGAUGAUCGGCCACACUGGAACUGAGACACGGUCCAGACUCCUACGGGAGGCAGCAGUAGGGAAUCUUCCGCAAUGGGCGAAAGCCUGACGGAGCAACGUCGCGUGAGUGAUGAAGGUCUUCGGAUCGUAAAACUCUGUUAUUAGGGAAGAACAAAUGUGUAAGUAACUAUGCACGUCUUGACGGUACCUAAUCAGAAAGCCACGGCUAACUACGUG